AGCCUUAGGACAAAAGAUCUUAGGUUAGACCUGCCCAAUGUGUUUUAAUGAAUGGCCGCGGUACUUUGACCGUGCUAAGGUAGCGCAAUCAAUUGGCUUUUAAUUGGAGCCAGGUAUGAAUGGAGUUACGGGGUUUAGCUGUCUGUUGAUUAAUACAUUGAAGUUACUAUUUAGGUGAAAAAGCCUAGGUAAAAAAGGGGGACGAGAAGACCCUUAGAGUUUUUCUUAAGUUGAAAAAUUUUCAUAAUGGUUUGGUUGGGGCAACAAGGGAUCAUUAAACAUCCCUAUAAUUAAUUAACCGAUUUUGAUAAAUAUAAAUAAACUACCUUAGGGAUAACAGCAUAAUUUUAUAAAUAAGUUUGUGACCUCGAUGUUGGACUAGGAAACUAAUUGGCUAGCCGCUUUUUAGGUAAGUUCUGUUCGAACUAGUAUUCCU
RNAcentral lists this ribosomal RNA (436 nucleotides) under Trapania sp. RNAcentral describes it as "partial large subunit ribosomal RNA". It matches the Rfam family "Archaeal large subunit ribosomal RNA", at positions 1909 to 2666 of the family's 2987-position model. Lineage: Eukaryota; Metazoa; Mollusca; Gastropoda; Nudibranchia; Goniodorididae. The record is from RNAcentral.